Molecule: ribosomal RNA, 253 nt
Filed under: uncultured bacterium
Lineage: Bacteria
Description: partial 16S ribosomal RNA
Rfam family: Bacterial small subunit ribosomal RNA
Source: RNAcentral
UACGUAGGGGGCAAGCGUUGUCCGGAUUCAUUGGGCGUAAAGAGCGCGUAGGCGGUCCGGUAAGUCGGUUGUGAAAACUGGGGGCUCAACCCUCAGAGGCCGACCGAUACUGUCGGGCUAGAGUCCGGAAGAGGCGAGUGGAAUUCCUGGUGUAGCGGUGAAAUGCGCAGAUAUCAGGAGGAACACCAAUGGCGAAGGCGAGUCCCUGGACAACACCUGACACUGAGGCACGAAAGCUAGGGGAGCAAACAGG